UACGUAGGGUGCAAGCGUUAAUCGGAAUUACUGGGCGUAAAGCGUGCGCAGGCGGUGCUGUAAGACAGGUGUGAAAUCCCCGGGCUCAACCUGGGAACUGCAUCUGUGACUGCAUCGCUGGAGUGCGGCAGAGGGGGAUGGAAUUCCGCGUGUAGCAGUGAAAUGCGUAGAUAUGCGGAGGAACACCGAUGGCGAAGGCAAUCCCCUGGGCCUGCACUGACGCUCAUGCACGAAAGCGUGGGGAGCAAACAGG
This 253-nucleotide ribosomal RNA is filed under the name uncultured bacterium. RNAcentral describes it as "partial 16S ribosomal RNA". It matches the Rfam family "Bacterial small subunit ribosomal RNA", at positions 524 to 776 of the family's 1533-position model. The record is from RNAcentral.